UGGAAUUAUGUAUAUGUAUACAUUGUUAAAAAUUGAAAACAUUAUAUGGGUGGUUCUCUAUGUUCGAACCAUUGACCUAAAUCCUAAAUCUACAUGUCUAUGAAAGAGAGUAAAAACGCAGACAAAGGAUAAAGCAUAAGGCAUCCAAGGAGUUAGUUCAGACAACUGUAUUUGACCAUUCCAAAUGAGUAUUUUCCGCAAAGAAAAAUAUGUUUCAUGAGUUAGUUGAGGUAUCAUUUCCCAAUUUCCAAAAUAUUCUGUCAUCUCUUCUAUUCCAAAUUAUAUGCUUCUCCUUAAUUUUGCCGUCAGCACAAAGAACAAGAGGCAAGAGAGAACAAAAAAAAACCACUCAAAAAUUUAUCUAAGAAUGGCCCUUACCUAAAAGUUGAUACGACUUUAAUACUGAUCACACAAAGUGGUGCUCCCUCAAAAGAAUCAGGUUGAUUUUCGUAUGGAUUUUUCUCUCCAGAAACUUGCUGCGUCAAAUUGAAGGUAUGUUUUCCUGCAUCUACUCCUUUUGAGGAUUUACCUUGCGAUCUGCAUUUUUUUCCUUUUGUGCUUUAUUGGUGUUAAGAGUAUGAAUUUAGUCCUUUGAUUCAGUCACGAUCUAUCGUGACGUGAUCUACUGUGAUGUGAUGUUCAUCAAUGCACUGUGAUCCACUCUGCAGGAGUUUCUCAUGACUCUACUUUUCUAUAACUUAAGGCCCAUAAGCUUCUAGUAUUAUCUUACAUAAUAUUACUACUUGAUCCCUCCUCCCCAAAAAGAUGGGGGUAUUUGCUCAGAGAAGGGUUAACUUCAGUGAAUCAGGACAUGGAAUUCUUCAUUUUUUAAAAAUAAAAUUUAUGCAAUUAGGAUUUAAAUAAAAAUAAUAUGAGUUACAAUUUAUAGUUAAAAUUGUUAUAGAAGGGGAAAAAAUGUCAAACAAAUUGAGAUAAGGAGUAUUUAUCAUCAGCUUGGAGUUAGAGGUGUUAUAGAUGAAAGAAGUGUUUCCAUCUGAUUUAGCAAUGACAGCAUAUAUAUCUAAACACGUUCAGAAAUUCUCAACAUUCUAGAUUUUGAAGGAUUGAAGUAUCACAGGUUUCAUAGAAGGAGAUAACUAGUUAGAUUGUUUUAUGGUCAGCACCCGUGAAAAUAAGUGGAAGAUCUGAUGGAUUGAAAAGGAUCCCACUCCCUUCUUGGGUACAUGGUUUGCGAAAGAGGUACUUGUGAUGCUACUGAAGUGUCUUGUUACCAUCCAAUAAGUGUCACAACUCACAACCUUUCUGUAGAUCGGCUAUGUAAACAAUUUCCACAAUGUUGUGACAUGUGUGAUUUGUCUCUCCUCAUUCAAAUAAAUCAGAGAUUCUUAGUUGUAGUUGAGGGAAUAGAAACCUUUAUAUUUGUGCAUCCAGAAUCUAACCUUUCCCAGUUAAUUCUAUAAGCCAGUUCUUUUGGGAUUGAGUAAUUCCACAGCUUUAACAUUGUCUUUCUGAAAGCUAAGAGGGAAUCAGUUUUAGAUGGAGCUUGUAUGAGUAAAUCUUCUGUGAGCCUUAUCUGUGGGUCGUCAUAGUGGUCUUUAUUGUAGAUGUUGGAGUAGAUGAUUAAAAGACGGAAGGAUCGUGGAGUUUUUUUUCCAGAAAUUCUGUAGCCUAAUCUGCCAAAAGCUGGUUUUUGUUUAUAUAGAAGAAAACAUCCUUCCUGAAUUUGAUCUUUUUGUCCUUCAGCUUAGAGAAUAUGAAAUCAUGAAAUCUCUCUAAGCUAUUUUAUGAUUCUGUUCCCAAGAGAAGACAUUAUUGAUUGACAAAUUCAACUAUGACUCUUUUUCUCGGGAAUCAGCUAUUAGUGUAGAAGAUUUUUGAGGCAAACAUGUAACAGGUUUUGUUUCAUGUCUUUUGUAACAAAGCUAUCACAAUUCUCUGGCAAAUGGAUGUGGAUUUUGAGAGGUUUCAUAAGAACCGGAAUUAAAAAAAACUGACUCUUUUGCCAUUACAUAUUCACAAGAUAACUUGGGAGAUCUAUUUGAACGCUAGACAUAUAUUAAUCCUUGUUCCAUCCCCGACUUUUGAGCAGGUCAACAUUUUGCCAUCUAUACAUGGUAAUAUUCAUUAAGCGUAUAUAUACUUGACUCUACAUAACCAUAACUGCAGUCAGUCUAAAUCUUACUUCCACGGACACUGAUUAAGUGAUUAUUCUUUCCACUAGCAUCAUUUACUUUAAUGUACAAUUAGAUAUUUCAGAAGAAAUUUCUGGGUUCAACUUAUGAAUCUCCCCUUAUGUUGACUAUAACAAAGUCGCAACCUUAGUAGAAUCGAAUAGUAAGCACGCAAAGUGUUUUUUCACAAUGGCCAUAAACAAUUGCUUCUGAGGAUGGCAAAAAAACACUUAGCUGAUCAGAUUUACUAUAUUUUCAACAACCUGGAUUGGCAGAAUGAUCUGCGUCAUUUCCCGACUUUGUUUUUAUUAAUAUUAUAACUCCUAGUUUGUUGGUAGCAGACUUGUUUGAUAGCUAGACCACUAUCUCCCGUCUAACUCACCUUCAGCAACUCAAAUUUUUUAUAUUUCUUAUUUCUGAUCAAAGGAUUGGCAUCUUUUACUGUAAAUCCUAGCUAUUUUAGCACGAUAUUGGAAAUCUUAUUGCUAUUACUCAAACAAGCAUGAAACUUCUGGGGGUUUCAACAGAUGAACGGCUAACUAGAUCUGAUUUGUCAGAUCAACAUCAAAGGCAUUUGCAGUGGCAGCAUCUGUUGUAACUUUCGGGUUUGGUAAGGGGAGCAGUUCAUAGAGCUUAUAGAUGCUUAUUUGACUGUACUGAUACUGCAGACUCUUCCAUUGUUCUUUCUUGCUGCAAGCCUUGGCUAGAUAACAUCAUUGUGAUUCACGAUAUACAGAACUUUAGUGUUAGUAAUGUUUUAUCAGGAUAUUCAGAUCUCUAGUUUUAGUAAUGUUUUAUCUGGAUAUUCAGAACUCUACUUGUUGCCAACAAUGUUAUCCAUUUUGUCACUUA
Nicotiana tabacum (common tobacco) is the source of this 2984-nucleotide non-coding RNA. The record is from RefSeq and is a predicted model, not a curated record. NCBI's taxonomy places the organism in Eukaryota, Viridiplantae, Streptophyta, Magnoliopsida, Solanales, Solanaceae.